GCCGGGCGCAGUAGCGCAAGCCUGUAGUCCCAGCUACUCGGGAGUCUGAGACAGGAGGAUCGCUUGAGUCCAGGAGUUCUGGGCUGUAGUGUGUUAUGCCGGUCGGGUGUCCGCACUAAGUUCGGCAUCAAUAUGGUGACCUCCUGGGAGCGGGGGGUCACCAGGUUGCCUAAGGAGGGGUGAACCGGCCCAGGUCGGAAACGGAGCAGGUCAACAAAAUAGAUAUCAAACAAAAAGUAAUCAAAAUUGAUGGAGAAGGACAUUCUGUAUUCAUCACAGGACAAACCCACCAAGAUGAUGUCUCAG
Non-coding RNA from Mesocricetus auratus (golden hamster), 306 nucleotides. NCBI's taxonomy places the organism in Eukaryota, Metazoa, Chordata, Mammalia, Rodentia, Cricetidae. The record is from Rfam.